This is a long non-coding RNA of Sorghum bicolor (sorghum), 1244 nucleotides long. RefSeq lists it as uncharacterized. The record is from RefSeq and is a predicted model, not a curated record. Lineage: Eukaryota; Viridiplantae; Streptophyta; Magnoliopsida; Poales; Poaceae. The transcript has 3 exons.
UAGCAUCCAGCUGAAGCUUCCCCGUUUGUGCACUAGGCUCUGACCCUAAUUUACAAACUCAAAAUAAUUAAAUAUAUGAAAACACCGGCCAAAGAUAAAUUCGUAGAGACAACAUUAUCACCGGACGGAGACAGCUAAAGUAAAUCCGGACUCUCGCCGCCGGGGCGGCCCUGCGCCCCUAGCGCCGCCGUCCAAUGCCACCUCUGCUUCUCGACGACGCCGCCCUUCAACGGCGUCGCCUCUCUCCGGCUCCUUGUGGACACCGUCCUGCCUCAUCGUUCCUCCUCGUCCACAUCGACUUCGAAGUUCCAAUCGUCAGAUCUCGCCUUUGCCGCUGAAGUGGUGCCCCGUUGAUCCCACAAGAACACACCAAAAGGUGUUAAUCAACGUCGCUGGCUCCACAUCGCCUUCUUCUUUGACGCUGAAGAUCGAGUUUGGCCUCCAUUGCGUUGAUCCCACAAGAACACACCAAAAGGUGUUUAUCAUCGCUGCUGGCCAUACUUCACCGUCGCCAACGCACCGUUGAUCCCACAAGAACACACCGUGUUUAUCAACGCCACUGGCUCCCUUCGACGCUGCUGAUCAAGUCUUCGCUGUUCGAGUUCGUCUUCACUGAUGUGGAUCUCCAUCCUUCGUAUGGCUCCGGAUGUGGUCCAAAUCACACACCAAAAAGGGCAUUGGACGCCCGGGCCGCUACAGACCAAAGAACGCAGUGAGGAUCUCACUUUUUCACGGUGAAGAAUGUGGUUUCAGUUCUGAAUGUUUCCAUGAUGGUGAACAUAAUGGAUGUCAAGAGCCCUGUCGCCGUCAAGCAUGAGGAGGCGUGAUGGAGGGAAUCAGAAGGAGAAGAAGCUAGGAGAAAGCCAGUUACAAUCUUGGGCCAGUGAAGGAAGCAAGGCCCGUGAGAGCUAAGAAGUCCAACUCCAAAUUAAGAACACACGCAGAGAGAGAGAGAGAGCAGAGCAGAGGAGAGAACACGAGGGAAAAAAUGAGAGAAGUGGUCGGCAGCGUCUGGACGGCAGUGGAAGGGAGCAGACGCUCACUUGGUCUUGUAACCUACCCUUAUACGUGUUAAGUUCUUCUUCUUCGUAAGCCAAAUUACAGACAUCGUGAUCGUGACUCGUGAGUGAUAUCCAUUCCCGUAUCUAGUAGAGUGUGCUUAGUCUCUGUUCGCUAGUCUGAAAAGCCAUGGAUAAAAAUACUAUUCGCUGAUUUACUAUGAGAGAAAAAUACUGCUGGUUGAC